This is a non-coding RNA of Cordylochernes scorpioides, 85 nucleotides long. NCBI's taxonomy places the organism in Eukaryota, Metazoa, Arthropoda, Arachnida, Pseudoscorpiones, Chernetidae. The record is from the annotation of a GenBank genome assembly.
GCAUCAGAGACUCCAAUUGCAUCUAAUUUCCACAAGUUUUCUAAAUCCAAAGAUAAAAAUGUGGACACGCAAAGGGAGCUGGUGU